This 594-nucleotide small RNA is filed under the name Pan troglodytes (chimpanzee). Its description in RNAcentral is "processed transcript". Lineage: Eukaryota; Metazoa; Chordata; Mammalia; Primates; Hominidae. The record is from RNAcentral.
GUUUAUGACGUUCUUUCACAAAAGAGUAUAAUCAUUCUUAGACUGUUGACAUGGCUGUGGAAAGCCUUAGGAGAAGUAGAAACAAUUUAGGGAGGGUGGGGAAUGUACUCAUCGCCUCUUCUUUCCAUCCUAGUGCCCCCACCAAAGAGGCUUCUUGUUGCGGCCCUCAGUAUCUGGAUAUGGGCCAGGGAGGAAGGAAGGGAAAGAGCAAUGCUGCUGUGCUUCAAUCCUGGCCUUCCCCUCACAGAAUUCUUUUAGGAAGAGCAAGCUUUUAAUCCUUUGAACUUGUAGAACAUCUGGGAGUCCACUUCCCUGUCCUCUUCCUGAUCCCUGCUUUCUGGACUGUUUAAAUCCUCUUUGGGAUGGAUCAGAGAGUCUAGAGAGGCCACUCAUAGGUCCAGCUGCUGGCCUCCUGACUCUCCAAAGCUUUCACUGGAAUUGGGACAUUUGCUCCAGCCCUAGCUGUGAACAUGACCAGAGACAUUAUUUAUAAUUCAGCCAUUUAAGAUAUACCUGUACUCAAAAAGUCCUGUAUAUUUUUAAAAAGUUUUAUUUUUCAGGUGAAGAAAAAUACAUCCUAAGAACUCUGCCUAA